Molecule: ribosomal RNA, 253 nt
Filed under: uncultured bacterium
Lineage: Bacteria
Description: partial 16S ribosomal RNA
Rfam family: Bacterial small subunit ribosomal RNA
Source: RNAcentral
UACGUAGGAGGCGAGCGUUGUCCGGAUUUACUGGGCGUAAAGGGCGCGCAGGCGGCCCACCAAGUACGAUGUGAAAUCUCCCUGCUCAACGGGGAGGGUGCACUGUAAACUGGUGAGCUAGGGUACGGUAGAGGGAAGUGGAAUUUCCGGUGUAGCGGUGAAAUGCGUAGAUAUCGGAAGGAACAUCAGUGGCGAAAGCGACUUCCUGGACCAGUACCGACGUUCAGGCACGAAAGCGUGGGGAGCAAACAGG